Small nuclear RNA from Rhincodon typus (whale shark), 112 nucleotides. The record is from RefSeq and is a predicted model, not a curated record. Lineage: Eukaryota; Metazoa; Chordata; Chondrichthyes; Orectolobiformes; Rhincodontidae.
GUACAUAUCUCACUUUGGCAGCACGUGUAGUAAAAUUGGGAUGAUACAGAGAAGAUUAGCAUGGACCCUGCAAAAGGUUGACAUGUAAAUUCACAAAGCAUUAGGGCUGUUA